Molecule: small RNA, 152 nt
Filed under: Arthrobacter sp. 9AX
Lineage: Bacteria; Bacillati; Actinomycetota; Actinomycetes; Micrococcales; Micrococcaceae
Description: ydaO-yuaA
Rfam family: c-di-AMP riboswitch aptamer (ydaO/yuaA leader)
About the family: This family represents a conserved RNA structure found upstream of the ydaO and yuaA genes in Bacillus subtilis and related genes in other bacteria.
Source: RNAcentral
CCCGGAUUUCCGCUUGAUCAACGGCAGAGGCGGGGGACCCACAGUCCCGGGCUAAUGACUGCCCUUGGGGUUAAGCCAGCACGUGAUGUUUCCGUGCGGCCGGAUGCCCUCAUCCGAACCCGACAGCUAACUCCGCAGGUGUGAGAGGCGAU